Long non-coding RNA from Cimex lectularius (bed bug), 781 nucleotides. RefSeq lists it as uncharacterized. The record is from RefSeq and is a predicted model, not a curated record. NCBI's taxonomy places the organism in Eukaryota, Metazoa, Arthropoda, Insecta, Hemiptera, Cimicidae. The transcript has 2 exons.
UACAAACUCUUACUAAUUAUUGAGGAUUAACCAACUCCACCGAACACCUGAGGCUUUAUCACAUUUUAUGGAAAAAACCUAAUCGCUGUUUUCCUACAUGUGAUCCAAGCAUUCGAUAAAAUCUAGCAUGGCGUAUUUUUGAUAUGACAUUAAAUUACUAGAAUGGAAAUGUGAAGACCAUUAAAUUUCAGAAAAUGUACUACCGUAAUGGGCAGAAACUCUUCAUUGCGCAUUGAAAGUAAACUUUCAUUUUACCAACAGGCACUCAAGCCAAUGUGGAUUUAUGGCGUCUACUAUUGCCAGCAAGACCAACCACCAAAUCAUGCUAAGAUUUCAUAGUAUUGAGAACAUGGUCAAUGCACUCUGCCCACCAUGAAAAGUCGUCAACAUACAAGCAGUUCACCUGUUUGACGAUUCAAAAGCCGCAAGAUCUGUGCUGGUGUAACGAAGUGAAUGUACGAGUAAAAACCUAUAUUAUGAAUCUAAGUUUCUUUGUCAUUAAUAUAGUAGGUAUGGGAAAAAGAUUACAUAUUAGCUAUGAUAUAUCUAUGUUGUAAUAUCAAUUGUCUCUUCACCUUUGAGGUUUGGAGGGGGGGGGGAUUUUUCAUCCAAAAUGUCACCGAUUUUUUCUUUCGAAACUCACGAAAAUAAAGAAAACUUCAAACUACUACUGGUCUACGUGAAACAUUAUAGUAGUUUUCCAACCAUGUAAUCGACACUUAAUGGCACAAACCUGGCCUACGCAAAUAAAAUAUAACGAGAAAUAAAAUAAAACAUUUAA